CCUACGGGAGGCAGCAGUGAGGAAUAUUGGUCAAUGGGCGCGAGCCUGAACCAGCCAAGUCGCGUGAGGGAAGACGGUCCUAUGGAUUGUAAACCUCUUUUGUCGGGGAGCAAAAGACGCCACGCGUGGCGCUCCGAGAGUACCCGAAGAAUAAGCAUCGGCUAACUCCGUACCAGCAGCCGCGGUAAUACGGAGGAUGCGAGCGUUAUCCGGAUUUAUUGGGUUUAAAGGGUGCGCAGGCGGAAGAUCAAGUCAGCGGUAAAAUUGAGAGGCUCAACCUCUUCGAGCCGUUGAAACUGGUUUGCUUGAGUGAGUGAGAGGUAUGCGGAAUGCGUGGUGUAGCGGUGAAAUGCAUAGAUAUCACGCAGAACUCCGAUUGCGAAGGCAGCAUACCGGCGCUCAACUGACGCUCAUGCACGAAAGUGUGGGUAUCGAACAGGAUUAGAUACCCUUGUAGUC
Molecule: ribosomal RNA, 459 nt
Filed under: uncultured bacterium
Lineage: Bacteria
Description: partial 16S ribosomal RNA
Rfam family: Bacterial small subunit ribosomal RNA
Source: RNAcentral